AUUGAACGCUGGCGGCAGGCCUAACACAUGCAAGUCGAGCGGAUGAAGGGAGCUUGCUCCUGGAUUCAGCGGCGGACGGGUGAGUAAUGCCUAGGAAUCUGCCUGGUAGUGGGGGAUAACGUCCGGAAACGGGCGCUAAUACCGCAUACGUCCUGAGGGAGAAAGUGGGGGAUCUUCGGACCUCACGCUAUCAGAUGAGCCUAGGUCGGCUUAGCUAGUUGGGGGGGUAAAGGCCUACCAAGGCGACGAUCCGUAACUGGUCUGAGAGGAUGAUCAGUCACACUGGAACUGAGACACGGUCCAGACUCCGACGGGAGGCAGCAGUGGGGAAUAUUGGACAAUGGGCGAAAGCCUGAUCCAGCCAUGCCGCGUGUGUGAAGAAGGUCUUCGGAUUGUAAAGCACUUUAAGUUGGGAGGAAGGGCAGUAAGUUAAGACCUUGCUGUUUGGACGUUACCAACAGAAUAAGCACCGGCUAACUUCGU
This 483-nucleotide ribosomal RNA is filed under the name uncultured bacterium. Its description in RNAcentral is "partial 16S ribosomal RNA". It matches the Rfam family "Bacterial small subunit ribosomal RNA", at positions 30 to 506 of the family's 1533-position model. The record is from RNAcentral.